AGAGAAGCAAUACCGCGAGGUGGAGCAAAACUUCAAAAAUGGUCUCAGUUCGGACUGUAGGCUGCAACUCGCCUACACGAAGUUGGAAUUGCUAGUAAUCGUGGAUCAGCAUGCCACGGUGAAUACGUUCCCGGGUCUUGUACGCACCGCCCGUCACACCAUGGGAGCUGGUAACACCCGAAGUCAGUAGUCUAACCGCAAGGAGGACGCUGCCGAAGGUGGGAUUAGCGACUGGGGUGAAGUCGUAACAAGGUAAC
Molecule: ribosomal RNA, 257 nt
Filed under: uncultured bacterium
Lineage: Bacteria
Description: partial 16S ribosomal RNA
Rfam family: Bacterial small subunit ribosomal RNA
Source: RNAcentral